This 328-nucleotide unclassified non-coding RNA is filed under the name soil metagenome. RNAcentral's name for it is "partial contains 5.8S ribosomal RNA, internal transcribed spacer 2, and large subunit ribosomal RNA". The stretch from base 1 to 120 matches the Rfam family "5.8S ribosomal RNA", at positions 35 to 154 of the family's 154-position model. The record is from RNAcentral.
GAUGAAGAACGUAGCGAAAUGCGAUAAGUAAUGUGAAUUGCAGAAUUCAGUGAAUCAUCGAAUCUUUGAACGCACAUUGCGCCCCCUGGUAUUCCGGGGGGCAUGCCUGUCCGAGCGUCAUUACAACCCUCAAGCUCAGCUUGGUGUUGGGCCCCGCCGCCCCGGCGGGCCCUAAAGUCAGUGGCGGUGCCGUCCGGCUCCGAGCGUAGUAAUUCUUCUCGCUAUGGAGUCCUGGUGGAUGCUUGCCAUCAACCCCCAAUUUUUCUAUGGUUGACCUCGGAUCAGGUAGGGAUACCCGCUGAACUUAAGCAUAUCAAUAAGCGGAGGA